GUGAAUCAUCAAAUUUUUGAACGCACAUUGCACUCUCUGGUAUUCCGGAGAGUAUGCCUAUUUGAGGGUCAUUUGAAAUAAUAUAAAUUCUAAGAUUUCUCGGAAUUUAAAAUGGGUUGUCUAUUUUUUGUGGUCGCUUAAAAUCCAAGACAAGCUCAUUUUCUUGGGUUGCGUGAAACUUUUAGUUACCUCUUGACUUAACCAGGAAUAACUGGGA
RNAcentral lists this unclassified non-coding RNA (217 nucleotides) under Archaeospora sp. Its description in RNAcentral is "partial contains 5.8S ribosomal RNA and internal transcribed spacer 2". The stretch from base 1 to 71 matches the Rfam family "5.8S ribosomal RNA", at positions 84 to 154 of the family's 154-position model. Lineage: Eukaryota; Fungi; Glomeromycota; Glomeromycetes; Archaeosporales; Archaeosporaceae. The record is from RNAcentral.